GAUGAACGCUGGCGGCGUGCCUAAUACAUGCAAGUCGAACGCUGGAAAUCUAGCUUGCUAGAUUGAAGGAGUGGCGAACGGGUGAGUAAUACAUAAGCAACCUACCCACGAAGACUGGGAUAAUCUCUGGAAACGGGGACUAAUACCGGAUAGGUAAUCGGAAGGCAUCUUCUGAUUAUUAAAGGUUAAAAACACUGGUGGAUGGGCUUAUGGCGCAUUAGUUAGUUGGUGAGGUAACGGCCCACCAAGACGAUGAUGCGUAGCCGGCCUGAGAGGGUGAACGGCCACAUUGGGACUGAGACACGGCCCAGACUCCUACGGGAGGCAGCAGUAGGGAAUUUUCGGCAAUGGGGGAAACCCUGACCGAGCAACGCCGCGUGAGUGAUGACGGCCUUCGGGUUGUAAAGCUCUGUUGUAAGGGAAGAACGGUAGAUAGAGAAUAUCUAAAUGACGGUACCUUACCUGAAAGCCACGGCUAACUACGU
This 485-nucleotide ribosomal RNA is filed under the name uncultured bacterium. Its description in RNAcentral is "partial 16S ribosomal RNA". It matches the Rfam family "Bacterial small subunit ribosomal RNA", at positions 28 to 506 of the family's 1533-position model. The record is from RNAcentral.